RNAcentral lists this ribosomal RNA (517 nucleotides) under uncultured Acidobacteriota bacterium. RNAcentral describes it as "bacterial SSU rRNA". It matches the Rfam family "Bacterial small subunit ribosomal RNA", at positions 355 to 864 of the family's 1533-position model. Lineage: Bacteria; Pseudomonadati; Acidobacteriota. The record is from RNAcentral.
UGGGGAAUUGUUCGCAAUGGGCGCAAGCCUGACGACGCAACGUCGCGUGGAGGAUGAAGGUCUUCGGAUUGUAAACUCCUGUUGCCCGGGACGAACGCCUCCAACCUAAUACGUUGGAGGGUGACGGUACCGGGUGAGGAAGCCCCGGCUAACUCUGUGCCAGCAGCCGCGGUAAUACAGAGGGGGCAAGCGUUGUUCGGAAUUACUGGGCGUAAAGGGCGCGUAGGCGGCCUGCUAAGUCGAACGUGAAAUCCCUGGGCUCAACCCAGGAACUGCGUCCGAUACUGGUUGGCUUGAAUCCGGGAGAGGGAUGUGGAAUUCCAGGUGUAGCGGUGAAAUGCGUAGAUAUCUGGAGGAACACCGGUGGCGAAGGCGACAUCCUGGACCGGUAUUGACGCUGAGGCGCGAAAGCCAGGGGAGCAAACGGGAUUAGAUACCCCGGUAGUCCUGGCCCUAAACGAUGAAUGCUUGGUGUGGUGGGUAUCGAUCCCUACCGUGCCGAAGCUAACGCAUUAAG